RNAcentral lists this RNase P RNA (359 nucleotides) under Zooshikella ganghwensis. RNAcentral describes it as "Bacterial RNase P class A". It matches the Rfam family "Bacterial RNase P class A". Rfam says of the family: Ribonuclease P (RNase P) is a ubiquitous endoribonuclease, found in archaea, bacteria and eukarya as well as chloroplasts and mitochondria. Its best characterised activity is the generation of mature 5'-ends of tRNAs by cleaving the 5'-leader elements of precursor-tRNAs. Cellular RNase Ps are ribonucleoproteins. Lineage: Bacteria; Pseudomonadati; Pseudomonadota; Gammaproteobacteria; Oceanospirillales; Zooshikellaceae. The record is from Rfam by way of RNAcentral.
UGAGUUGGCCAGACAGUCGCUGUAAUGCUUUUAGCAUUAUGGAGGAAAGUCCGGGCUCCAUAGGGCAAAGCGCCAGGUAACGCCUGGGGGGUGUGAACCUACGGAAAGUGCAGCAGAGAGUAGACCGCCUAAGCAAAGUACUUUACUUUGCCGGUAAGGGUGAAAGGGUGCGGUAAGAGCGCACCGCGUGAGUGGUAACACUUCACGGCAUGGUAAACCCCGCUUGGAGCAAGACCAAAUAGGAAUUCAUUGGUGUGGCCCGCACUGAAUUCGGGUAGGUUGCUUGAGGUGUAUAGUGAUAUACAUCCCAGAUGAAUGACUGUCCAUGACAGAACCCGGCUUAUCGGCCAACUCACUUU